GGAAGUUCUUAACGCACGUGACAAGCGAUCCAGUAUUAGCAAACGACUGUGAGUUGGCUCCAACGCAGAUAUAGAGACACAUAUGCCAAACUUGAGGCUUCGAGAUUCGUUUUGUGACGGCUAGCCAAAUCAUGAAGUAGCCAAAGAAGUUAAGUACAGCUCCUAUUAUGAGGAUGAACCAAGGAGGAGUCACCUCGUUGAUUAGACCUGCUAGGACUCCAACGUUGGCUCCUAGAUCUUUGAAGAAACUGAGGAGGUUAAGUGUGGUUUGGUCGUAGCCUAAGGUUUUCUUGAUAUCGCCUGAAUAGAGACUGAACAUGUAAGUGGCUCCAGCCGCCGACAUGAUCCAGAGGCUCCCAAAGAACAUAAACCAUCUUCCGGUUAGGAUUUGGAUGGUUA
RNAcentral lists this long non-coding RNA (399 nucleotides) under Brassica rapa (field mustard). Its description in RNAcentral is "long non-coding RNA (BRAP_LNC003103)". The record is from RNAcentral. Lineage: Eukaryota; Viridiplantae; Streptophyta; Magnoliopsida; Brassicales; Brassicaceae.